UGGGGAAUAUUGGACAAUGGGCGAAAGCCUGAUCCAGCCAUGCCGCGUGUGUGAAGAAGGUCUUCGGAUUGUAAAGCACUUUAAGUUGGGAGGAAGGGCAGUAAGCGAAUACCUUGCUGUUUUGACGUUACCGACAGAAUAAGCACCGGCUAACUCUGUGCCAGCAGCCGCGGUAAUACAGAGGGUGCAAGCGUUAAUCGGAAUUACUGGGCGUAAAGCGCGCGUAGGUGGUUCGUUAAGUUGAAUGUGAAAGCCCCGGGCUCAACCUGGGAACUGCAUCCAAAACUGGCGGGCUGGAGUAGGGCAGAGGGUGGUGGAAUUUCCUGUGUAGCGAUGAAAUGCGUAGAUAUAGGAAGGAACACCAGUGGCGAAGGCGACCACCUGGGCUCAUACUGACACUGGGGUGCGAGAGCGUGGGGAGCAAACAGG
RNAcentral lists this ribosomal RNA (429 nucleotides) under Pseudomonadota bacterium. RNAcentral describes it as "Proteobacteria bacterium partial 16S ribosomal RNA". It matches the Rfam family "Bacterial small subunit ribosomal RNA", at positions 355 to 776 of the family's 1533-position model. Lineage: Bacteria; Pseudomonadati; Pseudomonadota. The record is from RNAcentral.